CACUAACAUCUUAAGCUUUUAGAUGAAGUGGUUAUCUAACAAUCGUAAUUCAAUCACUCCUCAAAAUGAGGCUCGUACGAACAUCGUAAGUCUCACUCGAGGGUAAAACCUCCCUUUAUAUACUGCAAACACGAAAACGGCAUAUUAACAAGUUUCUCAACUUCAACGCCUUUGCACAUUAGACUAUUCAAAACCUCGUUCGGCCCUAAACUAUCAUCACCCGCCAUAAAACCUCGACACACGACAAGAGAAGUAUUACACACCCAAGGCACAGAAACCGUGUAAGCA
RNAcentral lists this long non-coding RNA (288 nucleotides) under Erythranthe guttata (spotted monkey flower). Its description in RNAcentral is "long non-coding RNA (EGUT_LNC000286)". Lineage: Eukaryota; Viridiplantae; Streptophyta; Magnoliopsida; Lamiales; Phrymaceae. The record is from RNAcentral.